This 417-nucleotide unclassified non-coding RNA is filed under the name Melitaea cinxia (Glanville fritillary). RNAcentral's name for it is "misc RNA ENSMCXG00005004271.1". Lineage: Eukaryota; Metazoa; Arthropoda; Insecta; Lepidoptera; Nymphalidae. The record is from RNAcentral.
GUUGGUCAGGUUCGUCGUAAAGUCGACACGCACCAUUAUAUGUGAAUGCUAGUGUCGGUCUUCUAAUGUAAGUGUACUCGUUCGAAUAAUGUUCAGACCGGUUGUAGCUUCGCAUCAAGCUGGUUAAAUAUAUUUAAGUUUAAAUAUUCGAUUUCAUUUUGUUUGAAGGACCUUAAGAAAAUCAACAAGUCUAGAGUGGAAUUAUCAAAUAAUGCAAUACAUGCCAGGAAAGUACCUUUGUCCAACCAAGAUACAUAUACAGAAUGAAGCAGUAACAAUUUAUCAUUGACCUUGUGGAAAUGAAUAUUUUAAUUUCGAUUAAAUUUGUUUUUCAAAUUGAUUAGGAUUUCCAAUUAAUUAUAUUAUUUAUUUCAAUAAAAACCUUUUUCGACCCAAUAAAAUAAUAUAUCAAAGUAA